CCCCUUUCAUCGUCGGCAGGCGACGCCUAUAUUCGGGAUGCCGGCGCAAGCCGGAUAUGGCGAUAAAUGGGUGUCGGAAUAAGCCUUUCGGACCCGGGGGCGGUACCCGGCGCCUCCACCAGAGCCCAACUUCCCCUUACAGGGUGGCGGGCUCCGGCGGGGGCGAAAUAGGAUCGACGAGGGUGUAAAGGGCAUACUUUCGCUCGGCAUGGUUCCGCCGUCAUCGGGCCGAACUGAUAGUUGCGAAUGACAACUAUGCUCCGGUUGCUCAGGCCGCGUGAGCGGUUUGACGAUCGAAAUCAAAGUCCUACCGGGUAGCACUGGCUAGGCGGGGUUCGGAGGCACCUGGCAACAGAAGCCUCCACU
This 366-nucleotide transfer-messenger RNA is filed under the name Xanthobacter autotrophicus. It matches the Rfam family "Alphaproteobacteria transfer-messenger RNA". Rfam says of the family: Bacterial tmRNA, also known as 10Sa RNA or SsrA, is named for its dual tRNA and mRNA-like properties. Its role is to liberate the mRNA from a stalled ribosome. Lineage: Bacteria; Pseudomonadati; Pseudomonadota; Alphaproteobacteria; Hyphomicrobiales; Xanthobacteraceae. The record is from RNAcentral. RNAcentral also lists the same sequence under 1 other name.